Molecule: microRNA precursor, 78 nt
Filed under: Fukomys damarensis (Damara mole-rat)
Lineage: Eukaryota; Metazoa; Chordata; Mammalia; Rodentia; Bathyergidae
Description: miRNA (ENSFDAG00000007017.1)
Source: RNAcentral
CCUGGAACUCACUAUGUAGCCCAGGCUGGUCUUGAACUCAUAGUGAUCCUCCUGACUCAGCUUCCCUAGUGCUGGGAU